Molecule: long non-coding RNA, 558 nt
Filed under: Homo sapiens (human)
Lineage: Eukaryota; Metazoa; Chordata; Mammalia; Primates; Hominidae
Description: non-protein coding lnc-DPH6-7:2
Source: RNAcentral
GUUGUCCUCUAUUAGAAACUUCAAGGAGAAGAGCCUUCUCUGACCCUCCUGAGCAUCUCUGCUGGUUUCAAGGUUUAUUAAUGCCAGAAGAAGAAUAGUACAGCCCAUGAUUGACCAGUCAAAUCGAGCAGUGAGCCAAGGAGCAGCAUAUAGUCCAGAGGGUCAGCCCAUGGGGAGCUUUGUGUUGGAUGGUCAGCAACACAUGGGGAUCCGGCCUGCAGGACCUAUGAGUGGAAUGGGCAUGAAUAUGGGCAUGGAUGGGCAAUGGCACUACAUGUAACCUUCAUCAUGUAAAGCAAUCGCAAAGCAAGGGGGAAGUUUGCAGAGCAUGCCAGGGGACUACGUUUCUCAGGGUGGUCCUAUGGGAAUGAGUAUGGCACAGCCAAGUUACACUCCUCCCCAGAUGACCCCACACCCUACUCAAUUAAGACAUGGACCCCCAAUGCAUUCAUAUUUGCCAAGCCAUCCCCACCACCCAGCCAUGAUGAUGCACGGAGGACCCCCUACCCACCCUGGAAUGACUAUGUCAGCACAGAGCCCCACAAUGUUAAAUUCUGU